RNAcentral lists this long non-coding RNA (245 nucleotides) under Pelobates cultripes (western spadefoot toad). The record is from RNAcentral. Lineage: Eukaryota; Metazoa; Chordata; Amphibia; Anura; Pelobatidae.
UGAAAAUGCUUGUUCUUGGGUAGAACAUUGGCUUAAAAACAGAGUACAAAGAGUUGUCAUUAAUGCUAAAUUUUCAAGCUGGACAGAGGUGGCAAGUGGUGUCCCUCAGGGGUCUGUUCUGGGACCCCUUCUAUUUAACAUGUUUAUAAAUUAUCUUGAAGACCGCAUUGAAAGUCAUGUUUCAGUGUUUGCAGAUGACACCAAACUUUGUAAAACAAUACAAUGUGAGCAAGAUAUUACUUUGC